AGCCCUCGCGGCCAUCUAUUUCGUGGCCGGUGGCUGUUUGCCUGCCAGAGGCCAGCGGGGGCGGUCCAGUCCCUGGCUCUAGGAGCUGUUUCUGGCCGAGCUGAGCGCGGCGGGCUCGGCAUAGCCAUGAGUUGCUGAACUGGGUGGUUUUGCGGACCUGACGAUUCGCCAUACCCCGCUUGGUGUGUCACUGCCGUGGGCGUCUCCAGGUAGCCUCAGCCCAGGGGAUACCUGGAGCGGCAGCUUAGAGCAUCUUCCGGGAGCAUCCGCCGGCGGCCUGGGCACCUCCCCAUCAGCCCCUGCCGUGCCACCCCAGCCUGGGCCUUGAGGCCCGGAGAUCUGAGCACUUCGGGACCUAUCCCUCAGCCUAACCAUCUUGGUUCAGCUCUGUGACACUGGGCCAAGUGACCUUGAGAAAAGACAGGGCCGGGCGCGGUGGCUCACGCCUGUAAUCCCAGCACUUUGGGAGGGUGAGGUCUUGAGGUCAGGAGUUCGAGACCAGCCUGGGCAACAUGGUGAAACCUCGCCUCUACUAAAAAUAUAAAAAUUAGCCGGGCGUGGUGGCAGGUGCCUGUAAUCCCAGCUACUCGGGAGGCUGAGGCAGAGGCAGAGGCAGGAGAAUCUCCUGAAUCCAGGAGGUGGAGUUUGCAAUAAGCUGAGAUCACACCACUGCAUUCCAGUCUGGGCAACGAAGGGAGACUCCAUCUCAAAACAAAACAAAACAAAAAAACACAGAAACAAAAACCCACUUCUAAUUGCUGCUACUCAGCAUAUACAUUCAGGGAAACUUGAAUCUAUGCUCCUGGGUGGCCAUCCUCAAGCUUUGGGCUUGAAUAAACUCUAUAGCUAGUCAUAUUUUCUAUAUCUUAUUAUUUAAGGUUGACAAACUUCAGAAGCUUCUUUGCCCUUCUGGUACUGAUAAUACCAACAGUGAAUAAUAAGUGACAUUGUUAUUGGUUGCUUACUUCCUACCCCUGAUAAAUGGUCUAAUGUUGAAAUCUAAGAGGUAUAAUAGUUAUUACAUGCAUUUAGUAGAAUGGGUAUAAUGAAUGAGGAAAUAGGCUCAGGGAAGAAUUUGAUUUGCUCUGACACAGCUCUACAGGGCCAGAUUUCCAACCCAGGCUAGUCAAGUCCAGAGCCUGCAAUUUUCACUUCAAGUCUUCCUGUGAGGAUUGACAAGAGGAUGUUCAGUCUUAGCCAGGUGCCUGGCAGCUACUGAGGGCCCAGUGGAGGUUAGUGGGCAAAUCAUCAUAGUAGUUUCAAUAAGCAAUAGUUCUAUCAGUAUCAAAGAGUGGCUGUGGUCAGAGCUUUGUAAGAGACACAUUGCCGUGUUUACUUAGGACAGGAACAAUCUGGAGUUUGUUUCCACCACUCCCUGGAGUUUCAAGUCCUUAAAAAUGUUCAAGCUGGUUUGGCUUUGUGUCUUCUAUUUCCUGUUUACACUUUGCCCCACCUCUAUUUUUGCCCCUUCUUCCCCCUCUUCUAGUUAUACCUAACACCACUGCUGACGCUCUUCGCUUCUGAAAAAUGGCCAGCUUUCUGCCCUCAAUUUAAAGGGAUCAAUCAGUGGCCCCAGAAGUUCUUAUUUUUCUUGGCUAAAAUGAAAAUGGUGAAAACACCAACCACAAAAGGCAGACUCUUGUUAAUGGGGGUCCUAAAUGUGAAAGGGAGAACUUACCUGGCCCAUGAGUAUCUGUUUGGCUUUCAGGGGAGACAGCCGUCUGUGUUCUUCCUAAAUGUCAGCUUAUACCACUCUGGGGUUUGGGGAUUCCUGCCUGAUUCUCCAUUUCCUUGCCUAUGAAAUGAAUAAUAUUAGUCACGUCCGAGUACCACCUGCAUUUUUUUUAAAGUGCUUCUUAAAUUGAUUUUUUUAGUUGAUUUACUUAUAUUUACUUUUAAAAUCUGUAUGUCAUUACUUUAAUGGAAAACCACUAUCACCUGGCGUAAAUAGAAAGUAAGAAACCACAUAAAGAGAUGAAAAUUAAAAUAUUGUUUUCAAUUCUAGUGGGCAAAACCUUGAUCUCUUUGUUAAAAAGGGAAACUGUUGAGUUUUAGUGAGGUGUUGAAGAAUGCAAGCACUAAACUGCAAGUUUCUCCUGUGGGUAAUCAGGAUUGAACGUACUGAAAAGGGGAGAACUUGGACGUGCUGCAGUUCUGUGUUUAAUACUCUGCUUGGUAGCACCUAAAGUCACACAGCACAGUACCAGCACUUCACUCUUUCCACAUGUGGAGAAACGGUGGCCGCAGUAGUCCUUGGAGCCUUCAGUGCUCAUGUCUAAUAACAAGCAUUUGCUCUGAUUCUCUUAGGGUCGGUGGGGCAGGUGGGAUGGGGUGCAAAUGGAUCUAAGAGCAGGAUAAUAACAAGAGCUAAUAUCUGAUAGGGUUUUUGCAGUUCACAAAGCUCUCUCACAAGCCUGCUACUUCUGUACUCCCACCUGCGCUAUUCCUCCUCUGCAUUAUCGCCAUCUCAGGCAUAGGUGAGAUGAGCUGUUCAGCAGGAUUUGAUAUGUACCAAAAGCUGUUCUACUACUGCUGCAUCCUCCCAGGACCCCAAGAAGCAAGCGGGGAGCAGCUAUUCUCAUCUUACUUUCUGGAGCAGGAGAGGCUUGACUCACAGAGGCAAGCGACCCCAUUUCUGGACCAGUCUCUGCACUGUCAAACAGUGUCUGAAUAGGAAGGGGAUGUUGGAAGAGGGUUUUACAUGGAGCAAAACGUGGAUAAUGACACGCUAGCGGCAAGCCAAGGAGGUUAGGGGAUCCAGGUUCUACACCAGAAGGGGCCCAACUCAAAGUGGUGAAGUCGCUGGCUGCUGCCUUUCACCAGCUGCCUUUCUCCCGCUGCCAGCUGAGGACCUGCACCCUUCCAGGAUGGAGAUGGGGACAGGGGCAGGCAACAUUACUCUUCUUGUAGUUCUCUGCCCAAAAAUCUAGGCUUCUCAGGCCUGCUUCCCACAACACACACACACACACCCCAACAUGGAGCCUCUUGGCUUACCUUCGGGUUACCAUGGCGGGAGCAGAAUGGAGCUCUAUCUUCUUACCAUGAAGUUACACAGAUAUCAUUAUCUUGAAACCUCUUAAGAGGUAAAAAGGUGGCCAGCCAUUGACCAGAGAGGACCCUUGGCCCCUGCCUAUCAUCUGUCACGCAUGUCCUGAGGGGGUGGGAAAUGGUUAAAGGGAGAGAGGAAAGGGAGCCCCCUAAAUCUCUACCAAUCCUGGCUAUAUAUCCUAAUAAGGCUCAGCUAUGCAUAUUUAGGAAGACAGAGGAGAGGGAAAUAGGAAGAGAGGUACAAAUAAUGAGGAAAGCAAGAGGUCUGCCUGGCUCAAAGGAAGUGAAUUCAAACUUCUAGUAAUGAAAAUGGGCCCAGGACAAUAAUACAAAUGGAGGCCCUAUACCAGGUGUUUUCAUAUGUAAGUUACACAUCAAUGACUAAACUUAAAAUAUCUUCUCCCUUCUACCUUGACACAUAUAUACCUUUAUAACAACCUGGAAGGUCAGGUUGGAAUCUAGAAUUCUCUGACUUCUCAGAAUUCUGCUCAGUCCCACAUCUAGAAGGGUCUCCUGUGAACGAAUGUAGAUAUCCCAACCUAUAAGUCCCAACUCUGCACCCCUUGCAAACAGCCAUUCCUUGCACCCAGGUGUGCCCUUAGCAGUCUGCCCUUGGGGCCAUGGGUCUGGGAAAAGGCCUUCCCAGCCCUUCCUUAUAGGUUCAAGCCCAUUUAGGCAAGGGAUUCAAGUGUCCCACGUACCCAGAGCAUGGCAGAAGGGAAGAGGGCUGUGAGCUCCUGGUUAUCAUGUCCCUUUGGUCCUACAGACUCCUUGUCCCAUAGGAUGGGGUGCAAAUGGAUCUAAGGGCAGGAUAAUAAUAAGAGCUAAUAUCUGAUACGCUUUUUGCAGUUCACAAGGCACUCUGACAGGAUCAGAAUGUCGAGGCAUGCAGGAUUAAUAUCUCCAUUUUACGGAUGAGGAUACUGAGGUUCAGAGUUCUCUGAUUCCAAGCCCUGUGUCCUGACUCCCCUAUUUCAAGAAUCGAGGUGGCUGUUCCUUACCCAACAGGGCAGAGCCUGAGGUUCUUGAGCAGCAGAAAGCAAGGAAAGGGAAAUUUCCCGACAUCCUCACAACAGGCCAGGGCCAGCACACUUUGACAUUUGACCUGUCCUAUUCCUUUCUCCCAGAGCUUUAUAAGCAGAAAGCAAGCCACAGACAUCUGUCUUCUGAAAGACAAGGCCAGAGUUCUGCAUUCGUAAUUCACACAACAUUAUUAGAAAAUGCAGUCAAUUCAGUUUCUGUUUGAAAAAGUGUUGCUGGUUGGUAAUGGCUCAUUUCCCCUUUUUGAGUCUCAGCAAAGACUCAGAAAAUGAAAAACAGUUAACAUCACCUCAGCAGCUAAUGAAUUCCAGAGGACAGAUAGGAGGUGUGACUACACCCUGGUAGGAGGCAGCCCCGCACCCCUCACCCACUGCUCCCCAGUUACAGGAAUGCCUGCGAGGGGGUGAGAUCACAGCGCCUUCCAGCCUGUCAUCGCACGCAUGCCUUGAGACUUGCCCCUCAGCCUCACUGUCUCGCCCCCGCCCCUGUCCCUCCUCCCUCCUCAAUAUUGAUGGUGUUGGGCCUCAGCUGAAGGGAGCAGGUGGGAAAGACACAAGUGAGGAGUAAAGCCACCAGGCGCCAACCUUGGGGCGUGGUGAAGAAGAUGAGCUUGGCACUUAAAAUGCAAAGGCCCUGCCCUGAAUCUGUGAUCAUUUUCAAGGAAGGUUGAGUGAGUGUCCACAAUGCAUUAGCUUCAUUAAAGACUUUCCGGUUCCUGAGGCCUCAACUGGAACAGCAGCAGAUGAAGCCCUCACUUUCUCUCCCCGGGCCAGGUGUGAGCUGAUGACAACCCCUCAUCACUCUUUGGUUUAGCACAGUGGUUCUCCUCGUGGGGUUCUCAGACCAGCAGCAUCAGCACCACCUGGGAACUUGUUGGAACUACAAAUUCUCAGGUCCCACACCAGACCUAUGGAAUCAGGGACUCUGGGAGUGGAUACAGCAAUCUGCAUUUACCAAGUGCUCCAGGUGAUUCUAAUGAGGACUGCUGCUAUUGUGACCAUCAGGCACUUGAGUCUUGGAGUCAGGCAGACCUGGGUUUGAAUCUCAGUUCUGCCACUUAGCAGCUAUGUGAGUCUUAGUUUUGGCACAUAUAAAAUGGGGAUAAUAAUCCUUCCACCUAGUGACUGAAUGGAUUAAGUAAGAUUAUGCAUUCACUUGCCCGGUUCAUAGUGCUCAAUAAGCAGUAGUUCCUCUAUUUCUCUGGAAAUCUGAUUAGACAGAGGGACUUCAAGAAGUUCACCGUGAAGAUGCUAACAGGCCAGUUCAGGUGUGUGGCUCCUGACUCACGCCUAAAGCCACCUCUUGCAUCCUGUGACCGAUGACUGGUUCUCACUACUUAACCAGGACUGAAACUGUCGAUAGAUCUGGUUUAUUCCCCAGCUCUCUAAAAGGAAUCCUCCUGCCUCUGAGAGCAGUGUGCAGACUUCCUCUUUGCAAUGAUUUCAUGAAACAGCAGGACCUGCUGCACUUGCAGGCAGAGCUCUGGAACUGGGCUAUUAUUUCUGUCGUUCUUCCUCAUUGAAAAAGUGGUCAGGAUAACCUCUGCCCUGCCAACCUCCAAGGGCGAUGGGAGGAGAAGUAAUCAUUUAGCCUGGAUGGAGAGCUUUAUAUGGAUUAAAUCAUUUAAUCUUCACAACAAUCCCAUGAGGAUAGACACACUGUCAAUCCCUUUUACAGAUAAGGAAACAGAGACACAGAGAGGUUAAGAAACCUGUCCAAGAUCACUGACUAAUAAGACAUAGAGUCGGGGUUCAAAAUCAGGCAGUCUGGCUUCUAAGUCCCUGCUCUUAAGCACUGUGCUCUGUCCAUUGCUCUGUCCAGGAACACCAUUAAACAGGACGGGUCACUGUAGCUUGGCACCCAGGGGCUCGGAAACCUUGGAAUGCAGACCUCUUUGACUAUCUGAUGUAAGCUAUAGCCCCUCUCCCAAAGCACAGAAACUUCUGCAUAUGAUCUCAGGGGUUCCAUGAAUCCCUCUUUCCACCCAGAGGCCCCAGAUUAAGACCCACAUAAGACUCUUAGAAGGAAGUAGCAAGGACAUCAGAAGUCUAGAGCCAUGAGAACAUUCUGCCCUGGUUAAACUCCAAGGAGUGGGGCGGGCUAGUGCAGUAGUGAUGGAGGCCGUUGGGUGAAAGUGCUGGGAAGAGGACCUCACAUCCUUCACCCUGGAGUGAGUGCAUAGGAAGUGGGCUAGGAACGUGGGGGCUUUUUCCAGAAUCGGAACAGCAAUCAGUAAGACCUAGUGCUUGAUGGAUCAGUAUUCACUACACUUUACAAUAAUCUAUCAUACAUUUCAAAAUAGCUAGAAGAGAAUCAUUCGGGCCAAGCGCGAUGACUCACACCUGUAAUCCCAGCACUUUGGGAGGCUGAGGUGAGUAGAUCGUUUGAGCUCAGGAGUUCGAGACCAGCCUGGGCAACAUAAAGAGACCCUGU
This 6522-nucleotide long non-coding RNA is filed under the name Homo sapiens (human). RNAcentral's name for it is "HSALNT0358385". Lineage: Eukaryota; Metazoa; Chordata; Mammalia; Primates; Hominidae. The record is from RNAcentral.